UACGUAGGGUGCAAGCGUUAUUCGGAAUUACUGGGCGUAAAGCGUGCGCAGGCGGUGAUGUAAGUCAGGUGUGAAAUCCCCGGGCUUAACCUGGGAACUGCAUUUGUGACUGCAUCGCUGGAGUGCGGCAGAGGGGGAUGGAAUUCCGCGUGUAGCAGUGAAAUGCGUAGAUAUGCGGAGGAACACCGAUGGCGAAGGCAAUCCCCUGGGCCUGCACUGACGCUCAUGCACGAAAGCGUGGGGAGCAAACAGG
RNAcentral lists this ribosomal RNA (253 nucleotides) under uncultured bacterium. RNAcentral's name for it is "partial 16S ribosomal RNA". It matches the Rfam family "Bacterial small subunit ribosomal RNA", at positions 524 to 776 of the family's 1533-position model. The record is from RNAcentral.